Molecule: small RNA, 288 nt
Filed under: Rhodobacteraceae bacterium PD-2
Lineage: Bacteria; Pseudomonadati; Pseudomonadota; Alphaproteobacteria; Rhodobacterales; Paracoccaceae
Description: 5' ureB small RNA
Rfam family: 5' ureB small RNA
Source: Rfam by way of RNAcentral
AUCCUCGAUCUGCUGCGGGCAGAUGUAGUGGAUGUGGCUGUCCAUGCCGCCCGCCGUCAGGAUGCGCCCUUCGCCGGCGAUGACCUCUGUCCCCGGGCCGACGACGAUGUCGACACCCGGCUGCGUGUCCGGGUUGCCCGCCUUGCCGAUCUUGUGGAUGCGCCCGUCGCGCAGGCCGACGUCGGCCUUGUAGACCCCGGUCCAGUCGACGAUCAGCGCGUUGGUGAUGACCGUGUCCACGGCGCCCUCGGCGCGGGUGGCCUGGCUCUGACCCAUGCCGUCGCGGAU